This 253-nucleotide ribosomal RNA is filed under the name uncultured bacterium. RNAcentral describes it as "partial 16S ribosomal RNA". It matches the Rfam family "Bacterial small subunit ribosomal RNA", at positions 524 to 776 of the family's 1533-position model. The record is from RNAcentral.
UACGUAGGGGGCAAGCGUUGUCCGGAAUCAUUGGGCGUAAAGAGCGUGUAGGCGGCUUGGUAAGUCCGCUGUGAAAGUCCAGGGCUCAACCCUGGAAUGCCGGUGGAAACUGUCAAGCUUGAGUCCGGAAGAGGCGAGUGGAAUUCCUGGUGUAGCGGUGAAAUGCGUAGAUAUCGGGAGGAACACCAGUGGCGAAGGCGGCCUUCUGGACCAGUACUGACGCUCAUGCACGAAAGCGUGGGGAGCAAACAGG